CCUCCGCGUCCGUGGCCUCUCGGUCCCGAGGCGCCUGCGCGCUGCAAUGAGGGGCCUGAGCCUGGGGCUCUGGGCUUCUUUCUGGAAGUGCCUGAGAAGAUUUAGCGGUGGACAGGGAUGCUGAAGAUCGGUCUUAGCUCUGGACUCGAUUUCGCACUAGAAAGAAAUAAUAUUUUCAGACACUGGAAGAAACAGUUUAAACCUUCUUCAGCUGGGAAGACAACAUGGAAUGCACCACUGGGUGGCAGAAACCAAGCCCUGCAGUAAUCUUCCCUGGAACUUGGCAAUGAGAGGCAUAAUCUGAAGUCUUUGGGAAGAUCCCCUGUGAGAUACAUCUCUGAGCCUGGCUGAUCUUCAGUGGCCAAGAGGCUGGCUGCCGGGCUCUACAGCAGCAUCCUGCCAUCAACAGAGCAGUGGCAAACUGGCAACCAUAGAGGACAAAGGAUAGCCCAACCUCUGGUUUUAACAUUAUUGAAGCUCAGAUUGUUCAGGACCCCCACGGAGGAAUAGAAAUGAGUCCCAAAAAUGAUUGGUUGAAUUUUUUCCUCCAACCUCCGAAAAAAUUAUAUCUGAUUUAGAAAAUAAGGGAAUUAUUGUGCAAUGGCAUUGUGAAAUAAAAUUCAUGCCCAUUAUAUAUAGUUUUACAGUGGUUAUCGCUCAGUAAAAAGCAUGUAAAUAGAAUAGAAA
Pteronotus mesoamericanus is the source of this 687-nucleotide long non-coding RNA. RefSeq lists it as uncharacterized. NCBI's taxonomy places the organism in Eukaryota, Metazoa, Chordata, Mammalia, Chiroptera, Mormoopidae. The record is from RefSeq and is a predicted model, not a curated record. The transcript has 2 exons.